GUCUGCAUUGCGCACACCAAGGAAAGGCCAUGUGAACGCACAGAGAUAAGUUGGCUGUCAGCAUGCCAGGAAGAGAGCUCUCACCAGGAACCAAAUCGGCCCACACCUUGACCUUGGACUUCCCAGCCUCCAGCCUCUAGCACUGAGAUGCAAUCACCAACCUCCCAGGAGCAGACCAAGCCUCACCAGAGAGCUUCGCCUAUGACCUUUGCCUUAUGUUUAAUGCUAAGAUAUCUCCAGGAGGAGCUUGGGCCUUCUUACCGAAACCUGCAGUGU
RNAcentral lists this long non-coding RNA (276 nucleotides) under Equus caballus (horse). RNAcentral's name for it is "lncRNA (ENSECAG00000046481.1)". The record is from RNAcentral. Lineage: Eukaryota; Metazoa; Chordata; Mammalia; Perissodactyla; Equidae.